This 253-nucleotide ribosomal RNA is filed under the name uncultured bacterium. RNAcentral describes it as "partial 16S ribosomal RNA". It matches the Rfam family "Bacterial small subunit ribosomal RNA", at positions 524 to 776 of the family's 1533-position model. The record is from RNAcentral.
UACGUAGGGGGCAAGCGUUGUCCGGAAUCAUUGGGCGUAAAGCGCGCGUAGGCGGCUCGAUCAGUCUGCUGUAAAAGUCAAAGGCUCAACCUUUGAAUGCCGGUGGAUACUGUCGGGCUAGAGUCCGGAAGGGGCGAGUGGAAUUCCUGGUGUAGCGGUGAAAUGCGCAGAUAUCAGGAGGAACACCAAUGGCGAAGGCAGCUCGCUGGGACGUGACUGACGCUGAGACGCGAAAGCGUGGGGAGCAAACAGG